UACGUAGGGGGCAAGCGUUGUCCGGACUUACUGGGCGUAAAGCGCGUGCAGGCGGAUUGGUAUGUGCCGUGUGAAAGCUCUCAGCUUGCCUGGGAGAGGUCGCGGUAGACAGCCGAUCUGGAGGCUCGGAGAGGUCAGUGGAAUUCCCGGUGUAGUGGUGAAAUGCGCAGAUAUCAGGAGGAACACCAGUGGCGAAGGCGACUUCCUGGCCUGUUCUUGACGCUGAGGCGCGAAAGCUAGGGUAGCAAACGGG
RNAcentral lists this ribosomal RNA (253 nucleotides) under uncultured bacterium. RNAcentral describes it as "partial 16S ribosomal RNA". It matches the Rfam family "Bacterial small subunit ribosomal RNA", at positions 524 to 776 of the family's 1533-position model. The record is from RNAcentral.